RNAcentral lists this ribosomal RNA (475 nucleotides) under uncultured bacterium. RNAcentral describes it as "bacterial SSU rRNA". It matches the Rfam family "Bacterial small subunit ribosomal RNA", at positions 915 to 1391 of the family's 1533-position model. The record is from RNAcentral.
GGGGGCCCGCAAGCGGUGGAGCAUGUGGUUCAAUUCGACGCAACGCGAAAAACCUUACCUGGGCUCGAACGGCUAUGGAUCGACCGUAAAAAUAUGGUUUUCCCGCAAGGGACUGUAGUUGAGGUGCUGCAUGGCUGUCGUCAGCUCGUGUCGUGAGAUGUUGGGUUAAGUCCCGCAACGAGCGCAACCCUUGUCCUGUGUUGCCAUCAUUUAGUUGGGCACUCGCAGGAAACCGCCAGCGAUAAGUUGGAAGAAGGGGGGGAUGAUGUCAAGUCAUCAUGGCCUUUAUGUCCAGGGCUACACACGUGCUACAAUGGACGGUACAAAGCGCUGCAAACCCGCGAGGGGGAGCUAAUCGCAAAAAACCGUUCUCAGUUCGGAUUGCAGGCUGCAACUCGCCUGCAUGAAGCUGGAAUCGCUAGUAAUGCCGUAUCAGAACGACGGCGUGAAUACGUUCCCGGGCCUUGUACACACC